Molecule: ribosomal RNA, 510 nt
Filed under: uncultured bacterium
Lineage: Bacteria
Description: partial 16S ribosomal RNA
Rfam family: Bacterial small subunit ribosomal RNA
Source: RNAcentral
UGGGGAAUAUUGCACAAUGGGCGAAAGCCUGAUGCAGCAACGCCGCGUGAGUGAUGAAGGCCUUCGGGUUGUAAAGCUCUGUCUUUUGGGACGAUAAUGACGGUACCAAAGGAGGAAGCCACGGCUAACUACGUGCCAGCAGCCGCGGUAAUACGUAGGUGGCAAGCGUUGUCCGGAUUUACUGGGCGUAAAGGAUGCGUAGGCGGAUUUUUAAGUGAGAUGUGAAAACCCUAAGCUUAACUUGGGGACUGCAUUUCAUACUGGGAAAAUCUAGAGUGCGGGAGAGGAGAAUGGAAUUCCUAGUGUAGCGGUGAAAUGCGUAGAGAUUAGGAAGAACACCAGUGGCGAAGGACGAUUCUCUGGACCGUAACUGACGCUGAGGCAUGAAAGCGUGGGUAGCAAACAGGAUUAGAUACCCUGGUAGUCCACGCCGUAAACGAUGAGUAACUAGGUGUAGGAGGUAUCGACCCCUUCUGUGCCGCAGUUAACACAAUAAGUACUCCGCCUGGG